This 468-nucleotide ribosomal RNA is filed under the name uncultured bacterium. Its description in RNAcentral is "partial 16S ribosomal RNA". It matches the Rfam family "Bacterial small subunit ribosomal RNA", at positions 28 to 507 of the family's 1533-position model. The record is from RNAcentral.
GACGAACGCUGGCGGCGUGCUUAACACAUGCAAGUCGAACGGAAAGGCCCUGCUUUUGUGGGGUGCUCGAGUGGCGAACGGGUGAGUAACACGUGAGUAACCUGCCCUUGACUUUGGGAUAACUUCAGGAAACUGGGGCUAAUACCGGAUAGGAGCUCCUGCUGCAUGGUGGGGGUUGGAAAGUUUCGGCGGUUGGGGAUGGACUCGCGGCUUAUCAGCUUGUUGGUAGGGUAGUGGCUUACCAAGGCUUUGACGGGUGGCCGGCCUGAGAGGGUGACCGGCCACAUUGGGACUGAGAUACGGCCCAGACUCCUACGGGAGGCAGCAGUGGGGAAUAUUGCACAAUGGGCGGAAGCCUGAUGCAGCAACGCCGCGUGCGGGAUGACGGCCUUCGGGUUGUAAACCGCUUUCGCCUGUGACGAAGCGUGAGUGACGGUAAUGGGUAAAGAAGCACCGGCUAACUACGUG